CAGGAUGCAAUUGAAGAAAUCACAAACAGGAGCAUGAGAAAAAGCAAGACAAUUGCACAAAACAAGCCAUUGCUACUGACGGGGACUGGCUGUAAUCCAUUGAUGAGAGAGAAAAGCAGCCAGGGGACAGAGCUUGACACAGCCAUGUCUCCCAGGCCUUUCCGGGCAACUAUCACACUGGUGAUGAGGUCAGGAAUUGACGUGCCUGCCGCUAGGAUUGUCAAACCCAUGAUCUCUUCAGAAAUGCCUAUUGUUUCACCGACCUGGUAAACAGGAACAGUAAUGAGAACUGUGGCACCAAGGGGAAAGUUUGAGGCUCUUCAAAACACCAACCACAUACUACUCUGUCCAAACCCCCGACCCUUCCCUGAGCUCAGCACACUCCCUGGGCCUGAGCGAGGGAGGCUGACUGUGGAACUGACGGCUCGGCAGAUGGGCCUCAGAGAGAGAGGACAGGGCCCCUGCUGAAGGCUUCAGAGACUGAUGCUUUUCUAAUUUGGACUUUGUCUGUGAUACCACCUCCCAACUGCACCACCCCUACGCUCUCAAGAGAACUGCUCCCCCCAAGAUCUGUGGGGUCACAGUUCCAUUUCCAGAACCAUGGCCACUGCUAUGUGUCAGGAACCAAGAGGCUGGAGACAGAAGUACGAGAGCACCCCGACACUGCUCUCAGCCUCGUGAAGGAGAGUUUGUGAACAGCGGUCACGGUUCUGUGCUAAGUGCAGUAUUCCACAUGGGACAGAAAAGCCGUGGCAGUCAGAGGAAGACCAUGAAAUGCUAGAGAGGAGGCAGAAACACCUGGCUCAUGCGUGUGUACGAUUCCACCGGGUGGGGAGGAGCGCGGGCUGACGGCAGGGGAAGCAGGGAAUAAAGAGGUGGUCAGCGGGGUCAGACUGUGAAGGGCCUUCUGUGUCAUGCUACAGCGGGAAGACUUUCUAAGGCAGAAGAGCCACACUUGAAAAGCGCCACUUUCACUAGAAUAAAAAGUCAGCUUUUAAGCCUUUUCAAUGUAGAAACAAUAAAUCCACUCGAUCCUUACCAUUCCCUAGGUACUGGAAAUUCGCCCUGAAGGAAAAAAGUGUCCUUAGAAGCUGCUGAUGGGGGAUUCAGUUUCUGCUGUUCACCCACUCACCUGGUGAGCCCACCAUACCAUGAGUGUCUCCCCAUUCUGUGUUGUUCUCUCAGAAUGAACCUGAAAACUUGGGUAGGAGGAGAAAACUAAUGCAAUCAUUCAGCAGAAUCCCCUUUACAGCUCCUGCCCAGUGAUUGUCCUGUGUUUAUUUGAUCAAAUCCAGGGAUGGAGAACUCACCACCUAAAGCAGCUUUUGUCAUCUUGACAACUGAUUGGUUUGGAGCCCAUGUUUGUACCAAGAUUCUACCUCCUGUACACAGGUUGACUCUUGGGGUCACACAGAACAAAGCUAGUCACUAUUCCACGAGACAGCUCUCCUCCCUGGGUUAAAGAUUCCCAGGUCCUGCCAUCACUACAUGCUAUGGACUAGAGCCUCCUUCCCAUCUUGGUGAACUCAUUCUAAUGAACUCAUGUCUCAUGAGGAAGCUUCCAGAACUGAACAGAGAACACUGUAUAGAGUGGAAUAGGAUUAUCACGUCCGUUAUCUUAGAUACUAUGCUUCCAUUAAUGUGGCAUAUCUUUCGGUGAUCACGUCACAUUGCGAGUCUUCUACAACUCCCAAACUGUUAUAUUGCAUUAUAUAUCAUGAUGAUAAUUAAUACCUACUUAUUGAGGGUUUUGGGAUGUCAACCACCAAGCUAAGUGGUUUAAAUAAUAACAGCACUUACUAUGUUUCAUGAGUCAAUUAAUUUAUGAUAUAGAUAGUAUUAAACCCAUCCCAGACAGAUGGAGAAACGAGGGUUAAUAAUUUGCCCAUGGUCCACGAGUUUGUAAGUGACGAAGGUGGGAUUUAAAUAUGG
Manis javanica (Malayan pangolin) is the source of this 1932-nucleotide non-coding RNA. The record is from RefSeq and is a predicted model, not a curated record. NCBI's taxonomy places the organism in Eukaryota, Metazoa, Chordata, Mammalia, Pholidota, Manidae.